Molecule: ribosomal RNA, 429 nt
Filed under: uncultured bacterium
Lineage: Bacteria
Description: bacterial SSU rRNA
Rfam family: Bacterial small subunit ribosomal RNA
Source: RNAcentral
UUAAGAAUAUUGGACAAUGGGGGCAACCCUGAUCCAGGUAUACCGCGUGUGUGAAGAAGGCCCUAGGGUUGUAAAGCACUUUAAUCAGAGAAGAAGCAUUUUAAGUUAAUACCUUAAUAUGUUGACGUUACCUGAAGAAUAAGGACCGGCUAACUCCGUGCCAGCAGCCGCGGUAAUACGGAGGGUCCAAGCGUUAAUCGGAAUUACUGGGCGUAAAGCGCGCGUAGGCGGUUUAGCAAGUUGAAUGUGAAAGCCCUGGGCUCAACCUAGGAACUGCAUUCAAAACUACUAAGCUAGAGUACGAGAGAGGAGAGUAGAAUUUCUGGUGUAGCGGUGAAAUGCGUAGAUAUCAGAAGGAAUACCAAUGGCGAAGGCAGCUCUCUGGCUCGUCACUGACGCUAAGGUGCGAAAGCGUGGGUAGCAAACAGG